Molecule: long non-coding RNA, 487 nt
Organism: Astyanax mexicanus (Mexican tetra)
Lineage: Eukaryota; Metazoa; Chordata; Actinopteri; Characiformes; Acestrorhamphidae
Exons: 2
Source: RefSeq, a predicted model, not a curated record
CUUGUGCUUGGGAGGCUUUUAUGUACAUGUUUCCCUCCAAAAUACCUGGAAGUGACAUCACACCACUUCUGGUGUGGUACUAUAUAAGCCCAGUGCAGGGUAUUUUUUUUUUUGUGGUGUAGUCUGUAAGUUAGAGUUGGUUGUUUAAAGUUUUGUAUGUAUUUGCAAAAAUGUUUUAAUAGAGGUGUUUCUUGACCAACAACGACCAACAACGACCAACAACGACCAACAUUUUUACUGUGUUUUGUUCGGGAGGCAAUUGCAGUCCACCAUAAAGGAGCCUGUGGUGAAGGAUGGUGUUCCUUUGUGGUGAGCCCUCUUGGCCUUCCACUACAUUUGAAGCCUACCAUUCCUUCCUUUAUUGCGAGAACUUUGGUUGUAUUGUGAUCUGAAUGUCAAAUUUAUUUAUACUUGUUUUACUUGAAGUGUAAAAACAGAUUUUUGCUGUUCGUGUUGUGGAAUUUUAAUAAAUGAUCUUUCUUUCAAA